GUUAGGAAUAUUGGACAAUGGGCGAAAGCCUGAUCCAGCCAUGCCGCGUGAACGAUGAAGGCCUUCGGGUUGUAAAGUUCUUUAGCCGAUGAUUAUAAUGACUGUAGUCGGAAAAUAAGCCCCGGCUAACUUCGUGCCAGCAGCCGCGGUAAUACGAAGGGGGCGAGCGUUAUUCGGAAUCACUGGGCGUAAAGCGUGCGUAGGCGGUUUUGUAAGUUAGGAGUGAAAGCCCAGGGCUCAACCUUGGAAUUGCUCUUAAUACUGCAAGGCUCGAAUCUCGGUGAGGAUAGCGGAAUUUCCAGUGUAGCAGUGAAAUGCGUAGAUAUUGGAAGGAACACCAGUGGCGUAAGCGGCUAUCUGGACGAGUAUUGACGCUGAGGCACGAAAGCGUGGGGAUCAAACAGGAUUAGAUACCCGAGUAGUCC
RNAcentral lists this ribosomal RNA (425 nucleotides) under uncultured bacterium. Its description in RNAcentral is "partial 16S ribosomal RNA". It matches the Rfam family "Bacterial small subunit ribosomal RNA", at positions 354 to 796 of the family's 1533-position model. The record is from RNAcentral.